This is a non-coding RNA of Pelobates cultripes (western spadefoot toad), 629 nucleotides long. NCBI's taxonomy places the organism in Eukaryota, Metazoa, Chordata, Amphibia, Anura, Pelobatidae. The record is from the annotation of a GenBank genome assembly.
CCUACCACCAAAUCCUCCUGCUUACCCCUUAGAGGGGAGGACAGGGACCCCAGGAGCCCCCAAGUCCGUGGCACAAAGAUGCUGGCCUAUCAACAGGCCUGGGGCAGGAGGGAUACCCAACAGAGCCAUCGGACUGCAACAGCCACCCUCGCCCUCAAUGCACAAGACUCACACUUCCCAUCCUUGGGAAUAGGCUGAAUUAAAGCCCGCUGCCUAAAGCUGUACCGCAACUAUGGGACUAACCGCUAACAACAGUUGCCACUGAUGGGACCUCUAUAUAUGACUCACAUGGGCCAGCCUGACUGGGUUCACGCAGUCAGCAAGCACACAUGCUCAGCCUGUUAAUGCUAUAUGUGACUCACCCAUACAUAACAGCUAGACCUAGCCUGUAUCAAUCAGCUCAUAUGUUAUCUUAUGGUAUUCACAGUAACUUUAGCGAGGAGCUGUUCAGUUAUAGCUGUUGUGACUGUUACGAUAAGCUACCUUUUCAUCUUAAUUUUAUUGACUUCUACCUAUAUGUGACUCACCCAUGUAUAACAGCUGGACCUAGCUUGUAUCACUCAGUUCAUAUGUUAUCUUAUGGCAGUCACAGCAACUUUAGCGAGGCUAUAUUCAGUUAUGGCUGUUAU